CAGGCAGCUUUUCAACACAAGACCCCUACCCCUGAACUUCAUCGUGUUCACCUCACUUUUAACUCCAUCUCUAUCCAGAACUCAACAGCCUCAAGCCACCAACGCCAUUCUUCCAUAGCCCAGCCCCAUCUCCGCCUGGAGCACCUUUCACCAAACCGAAAAACCUUAACCAGUCCCACACGCAGCAGCCGGGCUUCAUUUACGAAAAGAAACACACGCACACAGAUCAGCCCACUCACACACAUGCACGCACAUACGAGAACUCAGAGGAAAAGGAUUCAUGAGUUUCGUUUGUUCCGAUUUCCAAUUUUUCCGUUUCGGAUUUGUCGAGUUCUUCGCCGAAACUAGAUGAGAUCCGUUGAGCUGAGGUGCCGAUUCGAAGGUGGCUCGUAGUUCCGUUCGAAUUUGAUCGCGGUCUUGGAUUUUGCUUGUAGCUGCGCUAUCCUGUCCGUUGUAAUCUGCUGAAAAUUUUCUGUCAAUUGAAAGAUUUAUUUAAGGAAAUGAAGGCCUCGCUUUCUAAGGAUCUCGUCGAUCUUCGUUCGAUGCUGCUGGAGGGUGUAGGGAAACAGAGAACGAACUCUUUUCAACCUUGAGACCGGGCUAUGGAUGCCAAAUUAUGGUAGUUUCAAGGAGAGAAUCCGGAGGCUUGGAUAUUCCAAGCGGAGCGUUAUUUUGAGUUCUAUAGAAUUGAGGUUGAUCUGAAGCUUACCAGGGCGUCAUUCUACCUUGAUGGUGACGCACUGAAAUGGUACCAAUGGUUGUAUAGGAACAAUCAAUUAAUUGAUUGGCCGCAUUUUGCUGAUAAAGUGAGAACUCGAUUUAAACAGAAAGGGCUCAAGUCGGAAGGGAGAUUAGCGAAGAGGAGUUGUAUGACCAACUAAUCUUUCUUGCAAAACUAUGGUAGACAAUCUGACUGCAAAAAACAAAAUUCAUGCGCAUUAGGUGUUUGAUGAAUCAUCUGAUAGGUCCAAAGGUGCAUAUUCUCUUGUUUUGAGCCAUGUCCCAAACUCAUCGGACUUGGAAUCUACCUCCCAAGGUAGAAACUUAGAGGCGGCAAACAUUAUUGAUAAAAUGUCCAAUGGCGCAGACGAGAAUGAUUUGCUGGAAUUGUCAUCAUCAGUUACGUCUUUUGAAAUCCAAGUUAGUUUGUACUCUAUUGAAAUUGACCUUAUAGCUCACAUAGAUAGUGAGACUACAACGUUAACAAACUUUGAAGACACAGUGCUUCUCGAAGUUCCGCAAGGAACUGG
Long non-coding RNA from Nicotiana attenuata, 1250 nucleotides. RefSeq lists it as uncharacterized. The record is from RefSeq and is a predicted model, not a curated record. The transcript has 2 exons. NCBI's taxonomy places the organism in Eukaryota, Viridiplantae, Streptophyta, Magnoliopsida, Solanales, Solanaceae.